UUAAUAAUUUAUGGUUACAUAUUAUUAUAUUAUUAUUGCGCGCGUGAUAUUGUAAAAAAUUGUAAUCGCAGUUGGUAUUUUAUAAGUCAUCAGUUAUCAUUCUGACGGCUUUGGUGAAUAUUAUUUACGAGAUCAUUUUCUAAAAAAUUGUAUGUUGUUUAUAAAAUAAUACAACGCAUCAUAUUAGGUAUAUUACAUAAAUCGCGAUGAAUUUUGUAUUAUUGUUGUUAACUAUUUGCAUAGCUAUGGCAGUAAAUGGAAGAAAUUUAAUACGAACUUCACCUAGCAGUCGGCUGAGGAUGUCAACUACUCCAAUUAUAAUAAAUUCUGAAGGGAAUGAAUAAGAAGAGAAAGCCCCUGGAAUUUACUGAAAACUAUGUUUAUAAAGACCAAGUGUUGUAAUUUUAUUAUUAUUAUUAAAAAUAUAAAAUAUUACAUGUUAAGAUAAACUAAGAAAAUAUGGUAUUAUAAUAUACCUUGUGAAAUCUAGUUGGCUAGAAUACUUGUGUGCAAAUAGUUUGUAGGUAGGUAUUACAAUAAUAAUUGUUAAUAUAUUUUUUUUCCUUUAUGAUUUCUAUAUUUAAAUACCGAAUUUUGAAAUUUGAAAUUUUUGUACUUACAUAAUAUAUAUAUUUAUUGAUACCUUA
This is a long non-coding RNA of Aphis gossypii (cotton aphid), 647 nucleotides long. RefSeq lists it as uncharacterized. The transcript is spliced from 2 exons. The record is from RefSeq and is a predicted model, not a curated record. NCBI's taxonomy places the organism in Eukaryota, Metazoa, Arthropoda, Insecta, Hemiptera, Aphididae.